GUCCUUUUGUUAUUUAUUUAAGGUCUGACCUGCCCAAUGAUUUAUUUAAUGGCCGCGGUAUCCUGACCGUGCAAAGGUAGCAUAAUCAUUUGUCUUUUAAUUGGAGGCUUGUAUGAAUGGUCGGACGAGGGGUAGCCUUUCUUUAUUUAAUUAAAAUUAAUUUAAUUUUUAAGUUAAAAAGCUUAAAUUUUUUUAUAGGACGAGAAGACCCUAUAGAACUUUAUUUUUAAAAGUUUAUUUUAUAUUUAGUUUAUAUUUUAUAUAAUAGGUUUUAUAAAAUUUUGUUGGGGUGACAGGGGGAUUUUUCUAACUCCCUUAAUUUUUUAUUCAUUAAUUAAUGUGUUAUUGAUCCAAAAUUUUUGAUUAUUAGAUUAAGUUACCUUAGGGAUAACAGCGUAAUUUUAUUGGAGAGUUCUUAUCGAUAAUAAAGUUUGCGA
RNAcentral lists this ribosomal RNA (437 nucleotides) under Ilyocoris cimicoides. RNAcentral's name for it is "partial 16S ribosomal RNA". It matches the Rfam family "Bacterial large subunit ribosomal RNA", at positions 1830 to 2523 of the family's 2925-position model. The record is from RNAcentral. Lineage: Eukaryota; Metazoa; Arthropoda; Insecta; Hemiptera; Naucoridae.